This is a non-coding RNA of Schistosoma mansoni, 45 nucleotides long. NCBI's taxonomy places the organism in Eukaryota, Metazoa, Platyhelminthes, Trematoda, Strigeidida, Schistosomatidae. The record is from Rfam.
AUCCAGCUGACGAGUCCCAAAUAGAACGAAAGGCUCAUCCUGGAU